GACGAACCGUGCGAACGUUAUUCGGAAUCACUGGGCUUAAAGCGCGUGUAGGCGGAUGGGAACGUCGGUUUCUGAAAGCCCCCGGCUCAACCGGGGAAGUGGGGCCGAAACGACCUGUCUGGAGGAACGUAGGGGGACCUGGAACUUCCGGUGGAGCGGUGAAAUGCGUUGAGAUCGGAAGGAACGCCCGUGGCGAAAGCGAGGUCCUGGACGUUAUCUGACGCUGAGACGCGAAAGCUAGGGGAGCGAACGGG
RNAcentral lists this ribosomal RNA (254 nucleotides) under uncultured bacterium. Its description in RNAcentral is "partial 16S ribosomal RNA". It matches the Rfam family "Bacterial small subunit ribosomal RNA", at positions 524 to 776 of the family's 1533-position model. The record is from RNAcentral.